AAGGCCAAGAUUUUGCGGAAAGUGGAUUAUCCUUUGGAGCUGGAUGUCUAUGAUUUCUGUUCAGAUGAUCUCCACAAAAAAUUGGAAGCACCUCGGCAGUCUUUAAGAGAUGAGGAAAGUAAGAAGCUUGGCCUGAAAGCAAAUGAGAAGAGUUCUGGUUCAAAAGAUAAUGAUGUCAAGAUGACAGAUGCAGAGGGAUCAUCCAAUGGAAGCGGAGAAUUUUCAAAGGCUACCUCGGAAGAAGGAGGUUCAUCUGACAGAGAAUCACAUUUAACUGGAAUAUAUGAUUUGGUUGCUGUGCU
RNAcentral lists this unclassified non-coding RNA (302 nucleotides) under Hevea brasiliensis (rubber tree). Lineage: Eukaryota; Viridiplantae; Streptophyta; Magnoliopsida; Malpighiales; Euphorbiaceae. The record is from RNAcentral.